This 433-nucleotide ribosomal RNA is filed under the name uncultured bacterium. RNAcentral's name for it is "partial 16S ribosomal RNA". It matches the Rfam family "Bacterial small subunit ribosomal RNA", at positions 29 to 507 of the family's 1533-position model. The record is from RNAcentral.
AACGAACGCUGGCGGCAGGCCUAACACAUGCAAGUCGAGCGAAAACUUCGGUCCUAGCGGCGGACGGGUGGGUAACAAGUGGGAACGUGCACUUUGCUUAGGAAUAGCCCUGGGAAAGUGGGAUUAAUACAGGAGGAGCCAUUAGGGGGAAAGAGUUAUCGGCGCAGGAUCGGGCCGCGUUGGAUUAGGUGGUUGGUGGGGUAAUGGCCUACCAAGCGGACGAUCCAUAGCUGGUGGGAGAGGAUGGUCAGCCAGAAUGGAACUGAGACACGGCCCAGUCUCGGACGGGAGGGUGCAGUGGGGUAUCCUAUGCGAGGGAGCAAGCUCUAACCAAGCCAUGCCGCGUGUGCGAGGAAGGGCUUAGUGUUGUGAAUCUGUUUCUGCUGGGAAGAUAAUGACGGUAACAGCAGAAGAAGCCCCGGCUAACUCCGUG